AAAGAGCAGCGUCAAACGCAGUUUCCCACCCGCUUCCCACUGUAUUUCCCCAUUUAUCCUUCAUGGAUAAAAUCCAUUUGGUAUGGACCGAAUACCUCUUGUAUGUCUAGCACUGUAUUAGGCCCCUAUGGCUGUUUUUAUUUGUUUUUGAGUGAUUCUUUUUCAAGGAGGGAGUAAGGAAGAUGCUAAAUAAAUACAUCAAUAGAAGGCAAGGUCCAGCUGGAAAAUUAUCACAUGUCCAAUUGGAAAAAUAACACGUGUUCGUACAUAUAGCCACAGAGCUACUGAAACCACACACAUAAAUGCUGAGGGAAAGUGGAAUAAAACAGUUUCUUUAAAUUUUCAACAAAUGGACUGUAACAACAGAUGUUAAAAAGGCAGAAGGAAAACCACAAUCUUAUCCCAUCUCCAGGCUGGCACCGACCUCCAAGGGCAUGAGGGUCAAAGGGCACGUUUAAUAGAAAGGCCACUUUUUCCAACCGGAAUAAAUCUAACCUUUCCUCAAUCAAAGCGAUUCUAAGUUUUCUAACAAUUUAUGGGCAGUAUCCAUUUCUUUUGUUCCUGUCGGAGGAGCAAUGCCUGAUAUUAGAAACCACUUAAAAGUCACGCCCUUCCAGCAGGAACAGUCAUGGACUGUCACUCAUCCAAAAACCAGCAAAGCCAACAAGCCCCUUCCCCAAAUCGUCCAAAGGUGAACCCAAGAGCCAAGCCAGGUUAUUGCUAUAUAAACAUCUGUUAGAGAAGCAAACUUGGCCAAGGAAUGUAUGAGCUUCAAGAGUCACUCCGGACCUGCGUAGCAGGGGUGGGGGCAGGGGAUACACUUAUCUGUUUAUCCAUUAAUUUGUUUAUGUAGAGGGAGGAUUUGGAGAUGGAAAAUAAACAAUGCUUAUACAAUAAAUAUAAGCAGCCAUCACAAAACACAAAAUGACACCCCAGAAUCAACCGCGGUAGGAAAGACAUUUCCUUGUCUCCUGUAGGAUGGGUCAGUUAAGGGGCCGAGGGGGAUCAGAUAGAACUCAAAUUGGUCCUGCUGAGCCUGGAGCCUGAGCACGCAGAGGGGUGAGCUAGGCAGUCGCUGUCGGAGCCCCGAUCAUCCCUUCCAGCCUGGACCAUUCUGAGACGGAGGUUUGGAGUUACAGGUGUGUGAGCGCCAGAGGGUGAGAGGGGUCUCUCGCUCGGAAUGUAAGAGCUCCCGCCUGCUGGGAAUGGGGAGGAGUCGUCGAUGGCCCCAGGAUCCGUGCCCAGACAUUUCCAGAGGCGCACCGGCUGGUUCAGCACCCCACCGUCAUCCGCGCAGAAGCUGCAUCCCUCGAGGUCCUGGAGCGAAGCCAUUUCCUUAAAGCGCGCGCAGAGCCAGGAUAGAGUUUCCUACGAAGGACCGUCCCCCUGAGGUUCCUCCAUUAACAGCGCCCCCGGCCUUGCCCACCGCAGCGGCCCCACCAAAGCGCUAACACAUUUCAAAAUGGAGCGAAAUCGCAGAAGCGCGGAGUGCGCUUUGUUCCCAGCAUUAGGCUAAAUGCGCUCAUCCCCACAGGGCUCCCUUUCCUCCAAAGGCAGGAGGUGACAUCUCUGCUCGCGAGAUGGCAAUACGUAGCCGUGGCCGCGGGCUCCCCUUUUCCGGGGCCACCCCGAGACCCUCGCUCCAUCUGGAAGGGGAACCCCGCGCCCAGCUCUGUCUGGGGGCGAGGGAGGAGAGACGAUGCUUGAAUCGAUCCCUGAGCCACUCUGCAACCCCUCGCGGCGGGCCCAGCCAUGCGAGGAGCCUCGCAGUACCCAGGCUCCAGCCCUUUACGCCACCGUCAAGGAGGGUCGGCCUGGUCCCGGGCGGGCAGCCAAGACAUUCCCCAGAAAUUCAGAUCAACCUGGGCGACCCGCGUGGAGGAUUCAGCUCCUAGAUGCUCUUCCGUCUCAGAAGUGCGCCCCCCGCACCAGUUUUCAGCGAUAGAAUUAACCAGAAAACCGUGCGUACCAGGUUCAUCACAGGAGGGCGAGGCUCGGAUUCGUUGGCCAGGAGUUCCCCCUGCCGCCCCAGACUCGGUUUUGGGGGCGCGGUGAACUUGGACACGGGUGAAAUUUAUUUAAGAUAAAUAAUAUUAAUCAGUACGGACAUAAUAUUAAUAAAAAUACACCCAGGGCCGCCUAUCUGCGUGUCUGCGGCCCCCAGGGGCCAAUCAGAAACAGCCUCAGGCGCGGGGGUUCGGGGCUUCCUCCCGUGUCCUCCAGGAGGCCGACUGGGCGCGGCUCCCCCUACCCCAGGGUCCCCAAUCUCCGCAGGGAAGGGGUGAGGCCAGCCCCAAGAUCCCCUCUCCGGACGCCUGUGGUUUCCAUGGCAAUCCCCCCUCUGCGCCCAGUCCCGUGGGCUCAGAAAGAUGGGUGUGGCCGAAGCACCAGUAACCUUAUGCCCCUUCCUCACAUUCUCCAGCCAGGCGAAGCAACAGGGCGUAAAGCCGGAGAGGCCCCGCCAGGGCUCCCCACCCGGGGAGCCAGCGUCCCUCGCUGGGCAACCUGGUGUGGCGUGGCCCACAGGACACUUGGGGUGUAGGGAGGGGCGAGAUCCCUCUGCCGCCGCCCGCAGCGCGCACGGAGACUCGAAUCCUAUCCCUUCAGAAGCUUCCCGGCGCCGGCAGACUCCGAGACGAGGCUGCGCGCGGUCACGCCCGUUCCAUGCGUGCCGGGGGUCGGGGGGUUGACUCGAGUUCAUCGACCCCAGCAAGCCUCGAGAUCCAACAAUGGGCUCGGAAAUGAGGAGCGAAAAAGGAAAGAGAGGCGCAUGGGCGUAGGGGGGAGGUUGGCUAAACACCCUCAGAAUAAAAGCCAGAAACCAGGGCUGGGAGCGCAGAUCACGUAACCUCUACAGACAAAGCAAAGAGCCCCCGAAGAAGGUGCUGGGCGAACGCCCCCAGUGCUCACGCCCGCAGCAGCAAAACGCCAAGAUUUCAGCGCUGAUUGUCCCCCUCCCUUUAAUGCCAGGCCCCGCCCUGUCCUACGAAGCCCGGCCACCCGGUUUGGCAUGGCACCGUAAAGACGUGACACGCCGAAAAAAGAUGGCACCUCGCGUUCCGAGGGGGAAAAAUGGGGGGGGGUGGGGGCGGGAGUGGGAGGAGGCACAGCCUAUCCUCCCCCCUCCUCGCCCACCAGGGUCCACACCCACUGCCGCAGUGAGGGGCGAGCCCUGCGCGCCAGCCCCGCGCCUCCGGCAGGGAGCGCACACGCCGGGCGCCCUGCGCUCCGAGCGCUGAGAAAGAAAUCCGCCCCGAGAUGCACCUGCAGCCCCGCGCCCAUCCGUGCAUGGCUGCGGCUGUGCGUGCCCGCGAACGGGGACCAGCGGCCGCCGAGUCCGUCCACAUCGCCAGGCCAGGAGUCAGAACAAGGACGGGCCUGUGAUGUGUCUGUCUAUGACGACAAGGACAAUGUCCUGAGGAACGGAGAGGAAGAAAGUGAAGGGAACCAGGUCCCCGGAUUCCAUGUGGAACAGUAGCCCAGGAUGCGCACUAUGGACUGUUACAAGAGAGAGACAUGAUCUUCCUUAAGGCAUUGAUUUGUCAUGGGUCUCUUUGUUAUAGCCACUUAACGUUACCUUAAUACACCCACUUCAUGGAUAAGUAAAACUGAGGCUUGGAGAAGCCCACAUUGACACAGCAAAGAAGGCUGGGGCUCUUGUGCUGGUUAAAUGGACCUUGAUGUCUUCCAAAUGUUUUCCUGCUGGAUUCUGAGCCACUCUCCUGGCUGCAACUCUGAGGCUGGGCAGACUUUCCGCUGGAAAGAGAACUCAAAUACUGGUGAGAGGUGGAUUUGAAGCCAGGAGCCCCAGGUUUUGGCUCUGCAGGUUUGCACCCAGCUCUGUGGUGUAUGCCCUCACAGGUCACCCAGGACCUCCUGUCCAGGCUUCUUCAGGCCACCCAUGAUGGAGUGGAUUUGAGGAAUGAGGUUUUCAAAGCAGUUAGUGUGCAGGAGAGUAACCCUGGGGCCUCCGGAACCAGAAGGGAGGGAUUUGGGGGCUGGAGCUUGGCAGUCCAGGUUCCAUUGUCCUCAUGUUCUCCCCACUGGCCUGGCCUGUCACUCCAGUCUCUGCAUAGGUUGUCACAUGGCAUUCUCCCUGUGUGUCUCUGUGUCUCUUCUCUUCUUUAUAAAGACAUAGUUAUAAUGGAUUAGGGCCCACCCUAA
Molecule: long non-coding RNA, 4164 nt
Organism: Pan troglodytes (chimpanzee)
Lineage: Eukaryota; Metazoa; Chordata; Mammalia; Primates; Hominidae
Exons: 2
Source: RefSeq, a predicted model, not a curated record